GCCAGCAUGGCAGAGUGCUUUCAGCGUUGGACUAUGACUCUGGAGACUAGGGUUCAAUUCCCUGCUCAGCCA
Phrynosoma platyrhinos (Desert horned lizard) is the source of this 72-nucleotide non-coding RNA. Lineage: Eukaryota; Metazoa; Chordata; Lepidosauria; Squamata; Phrynosomatidae. The record is from the annotation of a GenBank genome assembly.